Molecule: ribosomal RNA, 253 nt
Filed under: uncultured bacterium
Lineage: Bacteria
Description: partial 16S ribosomal RNA
Rfam family: Bacterial small subunit ribosomal RNA
Source: RNAcentral
UACGUAGGGUGCAAGCGUUGUCCGGAAUUAUUGGGCGUAAAGAGCUCGUAGGCGGUCUGUCGCGUCUGCUGUGAGAACUCGGGGCUUAACCCCGGGCCUGCAGUGGGUACGGGCAGACUAGAGUGCGGUAGGGGAGACUGGAAUUCUCGGUGUAGCGGUGAAAUGCGCAGAUAUCAGGAGGAACACCGGUGGCGAAGGCGGGUCUCUGGGCCGAUACUGACGCUGAGGAGCGAAAGCGUGGGGAGCGAACAGG